GCAGCAGGCGCGCAAAUUACCCACUCCCGGCACGGGGAGGUAGUGACGAAAAAUAACGAUACGGGACUCAUCCGAGGCCCCGUAAUCGGAAUGAGUACACUUUAAAUCCUUUAACGAGGAUCAAUUGGAGGGCAAGUCUGGUGCCAGCAGCCGCGGUAAUUCCAGCUCCAAUAGCGUAUAUUAAAGUUGUUGCGGUUAAAAAGCUCGUAGUCUGAUCUGUGUCCCACACUGUCGGUUCACUGCCCGUCAGUGUUUAACUGGCAUGUUGUGGGACGUCCUGCCGGUGGCGGUUCGGGGCCUUGGCGGGUCUAGGGCUUGCCCGAAGCUCGCCUUGCGCUUCCUCCGCCGAUUCAAUCCCGUCGCGGUGCUCUUUACUGAGUGUCGAGGCGGGCCGGCUCGUUUACUUUGAACAAAUUUGAGUGCUUAAAGCAGGCUGAAUUCUGCCUGAAAACUGUGUGCAUGGAAUAAUGGAAUAGGACCUCGGUUCUAUUUUGUUGGUUUUCGGAACCCGAGGUAAUGAUUAAUAGGGACAGGCGGGGGCAUUCGUAUUGCGACGUUAGACUUGGCAAAUGCUUUCGCGGUGAAAUUCUUGGAUCGUCGCAAGACGGACUUAAGCGAAAGCAUUUGCCAAGUAUGUUCUCGUUGAUCAAGAACGAAAGUUAGAGGUUCGAAGGCGAUCAGAUACCGCCCUAGUUCUAACCAUAAACGAUGCCAGCCAGCGAUCCGCCGAAGUUCCUCCGAUGACUCGGCGGGCAGCUUCCGGGAAACCAAAGCUUUUGGGUUCCGGGGGAAGUAUGGUUGCAAAGCUGAAACUUAAAGGAAUUGACGRAAGGGCACCACCAGGAGUGGAGCCUGCGGCUUAAUUUGACUCAACACGGGAAACCUCACCAGGCCC
Molecule: ribosomal RNA, 895 nt
Filed under: Hackeriella veitchi
Lineage: Eukaryota; Metazoa; Arthropoda; Insecta; Hemiptera; Peloridiidae
Description: bacterial SSU rRNA
Rfam family: Eukaryotic small subunit ribosomal RNA
Source: RNAcentral